Molecule: long non-coding RNA, 532 nt
Organism: Helianthus annuus (common sunflower)
Lineage: Eukaryota; Viridiplantae; Streptophyta; Magnoliopsida; Asterales; Asteraceae
Exons: 3
Source: RefSeq, a predicted model, not a curated record
GAGGGGAGGGAGCCAACCCUAGUUCUUCAAGAAUCUUCAAAUUGAAGCUCAAUUCAGGCCCUAAAUCGAUGCAUGAACACAUAAAAACGAUCACCAAGCUUAGGGGAUCAUGAGUUUAACGCUUAACAAGCUAGGUGUGAGCUUGUGGAGGAAGCGGGUCAAACGGAUCAAGAACGAAAAGAAAAGCGUGGUUUAGAUGCAAGACAUGCAGGUUCCAGAGACGGACCUGCUGGAAAAUGGUUUCCCCGCGCCACGCGACGGAGGACAUAGCCCGGGGCGCGACACGCGACAACCGUCGCGACACGCGAUAGGUUUUGUGAACACCGUCGCUGCGACGGCUUAAAAUUUUGGAAAUUUUUGCUGAUCUUGUUGUUGGCUUAUUUUGACCCACAAACUGGUUCAAUAAUGUUUAUAAACGCCGAAUGACUAACUCAUUUCAUGUUUUAUGAAAUGUAGGUAUAUUAUACUGCAACGGAAGACGAUCAAGCUCGAAGAUGAACCGAACACAUGAAAAAGAAGCUUCUGCACAUUG